Molecule: ribosomal RNA, 560 nt
Filed under: Aspergillus flavus
Lineage: Eukaryota; Fungi; Ascomycota; Eurotiomycetes; Eurotiales; Aspergillaceae
Description: partial large subunit ribosomal RNA
Rfam family: Eukaryotic large subunit ribosomal RNA
Source: RNAcentral
GGGAUUGCCUCAGUAACGGCGAGUGAAGCGGCAAGAGCUCAAAUUUGAAAGCUGGCUCCUUCGGGGUCCGCAUUGUAAUUUGCAGAGGAUGCUUCGGGUGCGGCCCCUGUCUAAGUGCCCUGGAACGGGCCGUCAGAGAGGGUGAGAAUCCCGUCUGGGAUGGGGUGUCCGCGCCCGUGUGAAGCUCCUUCGACGAGUCGAGUUGUUUGGGAAUGCAGCUCUAAAUGGGUGGUAAAUUUCAUCUAAAGCUAAAUACUGGCCGGAGACCGAUAGCGCACAAGUAGAGUGAUCGAAAGAUGAAAAGCACUUUGAAAAGAGAGUUAAAAAGCACGUGAAAUUGUUGAAAGGGAAGCGCUUGCGACCAGACUCGCCUCCAGGGUUCAGCCGGCAUUCGUGCCGGUGUACUUCCCUGGGGGCGGGCCAGCGUCGGUUUGGGCGGCCGGUCAAAGGCUCCCGGAAUGUAGUGCCCUCCGGGGCACCUUAUAGCCGGGAGUGCAAUGCGGCCAGCCUGGACCGAGGAACGCGCUUCGGCACGGACGCUGGCAUAAUGGUCGUAAACG